This 467-nucleotide ribosomal RNA is filed under the name uncultured bacterium. Its description in RNAcentral is "partial 16S ribosomal RNA". It matches the Rfam family "Bacterial small subunit ribosomal RNA", at positions 29 to 507 of the family's 1533-position model. The record is from RNAcentral.
ACGAACGCUGGCGGCGUGCUUAACACAUGCAAGUCGAACGGAAAGGCCCUGCUUUUGUGGGGUGCUCGAGUGGCGAAUGGGUGAGUAACACGUGAGUAACCUGCCCUUGACUUUGGGAUAACUUCAGGAAACUGGGGCUAAUACCGGAUAGGAGCUCCUGCUGCAUGGUGGGGGUUGGAAAGUUUCGGCGGUCGGGGAUGGACUCGCGGCUUAUCAGCUUGUUGGUGGGGUAGUGGCUUACCAAGGCUUUGACGGGUAGCCGGCCUGAGAGGGUGACCGGCCACAUUGGGACUGAGAUACGGCCCAGACUCCUACGGGAGGCAGCAGUGGGGAAUAUUGCACAAUGGGCGGAAGCCUGAUGCAGCAACGCCGCGUGCGGGAUGACGGCCUUCGGGUUGUAAACCGCUUUCGCCUGUGACGAAGCGUGAGUGACGGUAAUGGGUAAAGAAGCACCGGCUAACUACGUG